Long non-coding RNA from Oncorhynchus tshawytscha (Chinook salmon), 3406 nucleotides. The record is from Ensembl. NCBI's taxonomy places the organism in Eukaryota, Metazoa, Chordata, Actinopteri, Salmoniformes, Salmonidae.
CUGGCAGAGAGACCAGUAAAGACACUGGCAGAGAGACCAGUAAAGACACUGGCAGAGAGACCAGUAAAGACACUGGCAGAGAGACCAGUAAAGACACUGGCAGAGAGACCAGUAAAGACACUGGCAGAGAGACAAUAACAAAAGCUAGUCAAGAGACCCGAAAGGACAGCAGGAGCAGAGGGAAAGAUAAGGAGGCGGAAAAGAUAAUCAAGGAGAUGGAGACUGGCAAAAAAGAGACCAGUACAGAGACUCGCAAAAAGUUAGGGAGUAAGACUAGAAACAUGACAGUCCAUGAGACCAGCAAAGACACUGGGAAAAUGACCAGUACAGAGACUGUUAAGGAGACUGAGAGAGAGACUAGCACAGACAUGGAGAGAGAGACCUGUAGAGCUGUUAGUAUAGUGGCCAGUAGAAUCAGCAAUAGAGAAACCAAAAAAAAGCCAGAGACUUGUAAAACACCUGAAAAGAAGACCAAUACUCAGACUGUGAAAGAAAAAACUAAAGUGACUCCUCCCCCCAUCUCCCCUCCAACCACUAAUCUGUGGGAUUUCCUGAAGAGGCAGAACCGAGGAGCUGUGAUUGGUCUGAGUGCACUCAUCGAGUGCCACAGUCACGGCCAGCCCCCCCUCUACCUCUGCCAGGUGUGUGGGUGUAAAGUCUUCCAGAACGCCAUCAUCGUCCAUGUAACCACAGACUGCCACCGGCUUUCCUACCUGAGGUCGCUGAAGACAGUGGUUGUCCCCAAAGGGAACCAGCUCCAUAAGAAGUUGAGGAGAGCUGCCUUGAAGCUGGAGAGGACCAUGGGAUAUGGAGAGGCUGAGGUAACGGAGUUGGAUGCACACACUUACAAUUUUGUUGCAGAAAGAUCCUUUGCCAUUGGCCUGAACAUUGUAAUGAAGGUCAUAAAUGGUGACCCUUCACCUGACCCCCUACUGUUGGUCAGCCCUAAACCCCCUGACCCCUCACCCCAGGUCAGCCCUGACCCCUCACUCCAGGUGUCAGAGGUCAGCAACCCCACCAUGACCUCUACAGCUCUGUGGUCCUACCUGAAUGCCUCCACCAGGACACAGCCUGUCAUCGGUGUCAGUAUGUUGACAGAGUUGCCAGACAGACAUGGUGACUACUUCCUCUGCCGCUGCUGUUCUCACAGGAUGUUUACAUCAUCCCUCAUUGGACACCUAAUCUCUGCUCGACACCGCUACCACUACAUAAAACUAGUGUACCCUGAGCUGGCUGCUGAUUGGCCAGUGAGCCCAGAGCUGACGGUGAAGGCGGGGCCUCUUCAUGAGGAGCUGAGAGUGAGAGCUGCAGAACUGGAGGCACAGGAGGGACUAGGACAGCUCACGAGUUUAUAUGGCGGUUCGCAACCAACUUUAAGGUGCAUUACCACCACCAACUGGACUGGAGUGUGGACCUCAGUUCAUCGUUCAAUCACCCACGUGGUAAAGAGAGAACCUGCUGCUGGAGACACAACCACUACCAAUACUGAAGGGACUGCCCAGCAGAGCCAGAACGGCUCACCUCCUCUCUCUGUGAAAGAGGAACCGGUUGACUCCACAGUACCAUCCCAGCCCCCUAGAGGAGAAAAGAGGAACAAGAGGAGGAGCAACCCUGUGGUUGGUGUGAACUUCCUGGUCCAGGUGUCCCACAGGAGAAGGAAACAGUACUACUGUCAGCUAUGUUCUGUCAGGAUGAAACACGCUAUUGCUGAUCACAUGACCAGCCUCAGCCACCGACACAACUAUGUGAGGUUGAAGUACCCUGGUUGGACCUCCAGCCCGGUAGAGAUGGAGAAGAAGCUGUUCAAAAUGGCCGUUCACCUGGAGAAGGUCGACAGAGACGCAGGAAUGGGCAUGCAGAAGGUAGAAGUGGAAGCUGAUGAGUACAAAGAGCUGUUGUCCUUUCCUGUGGAGGAAGGUGUCAGUAAACUGCAAGCCAUCAUCAGACGGCAACAAGAGCCAUGCGAUCUGAGACACACAGCUCCCUCGACCAAUCACAACCCAGAGGAUCUGAGACAGACAGCUCCCUUGUCCAAUCCCGAUGCAGCCCAAUGUCCAGCUCAAGGUAUGUGUGGGGCAGAGUCACGUGAGACCGAGGGAGUGUGUCCUCUCCCUGUCAGUCUAUCAGAGGAGGAGAAUGACCAGACGCUCCUGGUUCAGAUCUCAAUGUUUUUGGGAGAAGACCAGGAACCCCUACAAGUACCUUCCCGUUCCUCCAGGAUCAGCCACCCCUUAUUUCCAUCCCUCUCCCACUCUCUACACCUCACCCUAUCCCCCUCUCUUCCUCAAUCCCCCUCCCUCUCUCCCUCAAACCCCUUUUCUACCUCUCUUUCCACAGUUGUCCUAUCUACCUCACCCUCCCUCUCUUCCUCCAUACCAUCCCACACCCCCUCGUUGUCCACAGAGAAGACAACACACCCCUCCCCUGUCUCUGUCCCUGUUCCUGCACCUCUCUCAGCUCUGAGGAGCUCAACACAUUUGAAGGACUGGGAGACUUCUCUGAGUCCAGAGUGGUGGGAGAGGAAGAGCCCAGAAUGCAGAGAGACACAGACGCUUCUAGAAAUACCAGACAGACACACUCUUCUGGAAUACUCGGGCAGAGACAGACAGAUUGAAUACUCAGCGACAGACCGACAGACUGCAUACACUGAGAGAAACCGACAGACUCAUCUAGAAUACUCUGAGAGAGACAGACGGGCAGACUACUCAGAGAGAGACAGACGGGCAGACUACUCAGAGAGAGACAGACGGGCGGACUACUCGGAGAGAGACAGACGGGCGGACUGCUCGGAGAGAGGCAGACGGGCGGACUACUCCGAGGGAGGCAGACGGGCGGACUACUCCGAGGGAGGCAGACGGGCGGACUACUCCGAGGAGGCAGGCGGGCGGACUACUCCGAGGGAGGCAGGCGGGCGGACUACUCCGAGGAGGCAGGCGGGCGGACUACUCCGAGGGAGGCAGGCGGGCGGACUACUCCGAGGAGGCAGGCGGCCGGACUACUCCGAGGGAGGCAGGCGACCGGACUUCUCCGAGGGAGGCAGACGGGCGGACUUCUCCGAGGGAGGCAGACGGGCGGACUUCUCCGAGGGAGGCAGACGGGCGGACUACUCCGAGGGAGGCAGACGGGCGGACUACUCCGAGGGAGGCAGACGGGCGGACUACUCCGAGGGAGGCAGACAGGCGGACUACUCCGAGGGAGGCAGACAGGCGGACUACUCCGAGGGAGGCAGACAGGCGGACUACUCCGAGGGAGGCAGACAGGCGGACUACUCCGAGGGAGGCAGACAGGCGGACUACUCCGAGGGAGGCAGACAGGCGGACUACUCCGAGGGAGGCAGACAGGCGGACUACUCCGAGGGAGGCAGACAGGCGGACUACUCCGAGGAGGCAGACAGGCGGACUACUCC